CCCUUCUGUUCUGCUCUAGCAGGUCUCCCUCUCUGCUGUGAAACCCACUGGGAGGUCCCACCCCUUUCCAACCUGCCUUUCAUCCCACCCCCUCCCCCGCCCCCCAUGCAUGCCAUCCAGAGAUCCAAAGCCACCUAUGGGGCUCAGGGUGGCUCUAAGUACACUUUUAGGAUCAGCUUCGUCUUCUGUUACAUGCCUCGUUCCCUUGUGGGAGCAAAUGGGUGGAUUACAACUUCUGGUUGGGGAACACAAUCCUUUUGCCAGCAGCAUCUAUGCACUGUUUCUGUCACCCUGUUACAGGACUAACAGUGUGCAUCUGGCAAAACUACUAGCUGAAGUUACUGGUGCAGUGAGCAAACAUGGAAGAAUUUCUCUCUCUGUGAGGCUAACUGGCUUGCUCAAGUUUGGAAACUGUGACCCUGGUCUGUCAGCACCAUGCUUUACUCAACGGAAAUAA
Molecule: long non-coding RNA, 457 nt
Filed under: Mustela putorius furo (domestic ferret)
Lineage: Eukaryota; Metazoa; Chordata; Mammalia; Carnivora; Mustelidae
Description: lncRNA (ENSMPUG00000026272.1)
Source: RNAcentral